UACAGAGGUCUCAAGCGUUGUUCGGAUUCAUUGGGCGUAAAGGGUGCGUAGGCGGCGCGGUAAGUCGGGUGUGAAAUCUCGGAGCUUAACUCCGAAACUGCAUUCGAUACUGCCGUGCUUGAGGACUGGAGAGGAGACUGGAAUUUACGGUGUAGCGGUGAAAUGCGUAGAUAUCUGGAGGAACACCGUGGCGAAGGCGCAUCCUGGACCGGCAUUGACGCUGAGGCGCGAAAGCCAGGGGGAGCAAACGGGG
Molecule: ribosomal RNA, 253 nt
Filed under: uncultured bacterium
Lineage: Bacteria
Description: partial 16S ribosomal RNA
Rfam family: Bacterial small subunit ribosomal RNA
Source: RNAcentral